CUCCAGCUAUAUACAUUUAGAAUGUGGGAGGGUUUCAUUUCCUAGGUCAGGGGUUGGCAGACUACAGCCCCUGGAGCAAAUGUGGCCUCCAGCCUGACUGUGUAAGUAAAGUUUUACUGCAGCAAAGACACAUCCCAUUACAUUCUGUCUACGGCUGCUUAAGCAGUUGUGAUUGAGACCAUUUUUGUGUAGAAAGCCUAAGGCAGUGGUUCUCAACCUUACUAAUGCUGCAGCCCUUUAAUAUACUUCGUCAUGUCGCGGUGACCCCCAACAACAAAGUUAUUUCAUUGUUACUUCAUAACUGUAAUUUUGCUGUUGCUGCGAAUCAUGGAAAUAUCUGUUAUGGAAAUAUCUGUUAUGUGACUCACCUUUCUCCACCACACACACACACAGGGUCUUGACUUGUGGUUGAAAACUGCUGACCUAAGGUUAUUUUACUUCCUGCCUUACAAAGAAAAAGUUUACCAACCUUUGUCUUAGGAAAUUGUAAGAAAUGUGGUGGGGAGAUCGAUCCUAAUUUAAUCUAAGAUUUUGUUUGAAUCCACCAUAGGGAAAAAAUGAUUCUCUGGGGAUCCUCUUUGCAGAGAUGGACCAGGCUGUGGUUCAUUGCGAUGUGGUUUUCCUCAAGAGUCCGCAAGGCACUGAUGGUGCCAUUGUCAAGGCUGAUGCUUUUCCUGUCACACACUGGAAGGGUCAUCUGAAGCGACUCUGAGAAGAGAGGCCACACCGCGGCAAGUUUUGAUUGGUCUGUGAAGACAGGCAAAUGUAGGGCUGACAAGGAGAGCGCUUGUGUUUGCUGUCAGUAUGUUAAGUCUGUGAGAGGGUAAUUAGAGGACGGUCUCCGUGACAGCCUCAGCCGACUUUGAACAGUGGCUGUUGUCAGCCCACAGUAUAACUGGCCCCUUUGGAAAGGCAGAGUUUGGAGAUAAGGGUGCAUGCUUUCUGAGCACAGCUCUGAACUCUGUUGCAAUCCUAGGUGUGACUAAGCUAGUUUGCCCCAAAUUACUUUCUUUUUUUAUUUAUUUUUUUCAUCUUUAUUAACUUGAGUAUUUCUUAUUUACAUUUCGAUUGUUAUUCUCUUUCCCGGUUUCCAGGCCAACAUUCCUCUAACCCCUCCCCCUCCCCUUCUCGAUGGUUGUUCCCCUCCCCAUCCUCCCCCCAUUGCCGCCCUCCCCCCAACAAUCACGUUCACUGGGGGUUCAGUCUUGGCAGGACCAAGGGCUUCCCCUUCCACUGGUGCUCUUACUAGGAUAUUCAUUGCUACCUAUGAGGUCAGAGUCCAGGGUCAGUCCAUGUAUAGUCUUUAGGUAGUGGCUUAGUCCCUGGAAGCUCUGGUUGGUUGGCAUUGUUGUUCAUAAGGGGUCUCGAGCCCCUUCAAGGUCUGGAAUUUCCUCUUCUUAAUUUUUCGUUUCUGUCUUUCGGACACAAGAAGUUUUCUUACAAAUAAGAGAGUCCUUCAAAAAUCAUAGUUCUCGCCCCCCAACCCCCAAACAAAGUCUCAAGAAAUAGAUUCAUCCUUAAACUUUGACGUUCAACAAGUUCUUGUGAAGAAUCUGUCUGCUGACGCAGCACUGAGAUACUAAGUUUUCAAUAGGCUGCUCUCAUUUAGAUUGCUAUUUUAUGUCUUGUGCUUUUAAAUUUGAGCUGAACUGCACCAAUAAGAUAUUAUGUAACUUAGAUCUUUAAACUUCUAUUUUGAAUUAAUGCAAUUUUACUCUGACACACACACACACAUACACACACACACACACACAUUUGCUUAUAGAGAAAUGUAAUAAACAACCUUGGACAAACUUGUA
Non-coding RNA from Rattus norvegicus (Norway rat), 1799 nucleotides. The record is from RefSeq and is a predicted model, not a curated record. Lineage: Eukaryota; Metazoa; Chordata; Mammalia; Rodentia; Muridae.